RNAcentral lists this transfer RNA (73 nucleotides) under Fukomys damarensis (Damara mole-rat). It matches the Rfam family "tRNA". From Rfam's summary of the family: Transfer RNA (tRNA) molecules are approximately 80 nucleotides in length. Their secondary structure includes four short double-helical elements and three loops (D, anti-codon, and T loops). Further hydrogen bonds mediate the characteristic L-shaped molecular structure. tRNAs have two regions of fundamental functional importance: the anti-codon, which is responsible for specific mRNA codon recognition, and the 3' end, to which the tRNAs corresponding amino acid is attached (by aminoacyl-tRNA synthetases). tRNAs cope with the degeneracy of the genetic code in two manners: having more than one tRNA (with a specific anti-codon) for a particular amino acid; and 'wobble' base-pairing, i.e. permitting non-standard base-pairing at the 3rd anti-codon position. The record is from Rfam by way of RNAcentral. Lineage: Eukaryota; Metazoa; Chordata; Mammalia; Rodentia; Bathyergidae.
GCUGAAAUAGCUCAGUUGGGAGAGCGUUAGACUGAAGAUCUAAAGACCCGUGGCUCGAUCCUGGGUUUCGGCA